UUCUGGCUCAGAUGACGCUGGCGGCGUGCUUAACACAUGCAAGUCGCGCGUGAAAGGACUUCGGUCCGAGUAAAGCGGCGCACGGGUGAGUAACGCGUGGAUGAUCUACCCAUGAGUUAGGAAUAACGGCUGGAAACGGUCGCUAAUACCAAAUACGCUCCGAUUUCAACUUCGGGGGAAAGGUGGCCUCUGCUUGCAAGCUACUGCUCAUGGAUGAGUCCGCGUCCCAUUAGCUAGUUGGUGGGGUAACGGCCCACCAAGGCGACGAUGGGUAGCCGGUCUGAGAGGAUGACCGGCCACACUGGGACUGGAACACGGCCCAGACUCCUACGGGAGGCAGCAGUGGGGAAUAUUGCGCAAUGGGCGAAAGCCUGACGCAGCGACGCCGCGUGAGGGGAAUGAAGGUCCUCGGAUCGUAAACCUCUGUCAGGAGGGAAGAACCGCCACGGUGCUAAUCAGCCGUGGUCUGACGGUACCUCCAAAGGAAGCACCGGCUAACUCCGUGCCAGCCGCCGC
This 516-nucleotide ribosomal RNA is filed under the name uncultured bacterium. Its description in RNAcentral is "bacterial SSU rRNA". It matches the Rfam family "Bacterial small subunit ribosomal RNA", at positions 17 to 518 of the family's 1533-position model. The record is from RNAcentral.